RNAcentral lists this ribosomal RNA (1403 nucleotides) under uncultured bacterium. RNAcentral describes it as "partial 16S ribosomal RNA". It matches the Rfam family "Bacterial small subunit ribosomal RNA". The record is from RNAcentral.
UAGACUGUGAUUUCGGCACACGAUGACGUCUGGCUACCGGCUUAGCUGAUGCACGUCUUGGGGAAACGGCAUUAUGUGCUUGCACAUUGCGGACGUCGACCGGCGCACGGGUGAGUAUCCCGAAUCCAACCUGCCCCUUAGUUGGGGAUACCCCGUUGAAAGACAGCGUAAUACGCGAUGUGUUUCAUUGACGGCGUCCGAGAUGAAACAGAAGGUUUUCCGGUCAUGGACGGGGAUGCGUCUGAUUGGCUAGUUGGCGGGGCAACGGCCCAGCCGAGGCGACGAUCAGUGGGGGUUCCGAGAGGAAGGUCCCCCACCUUGGAACUGAGACACGGUCCGAACUCCUACGGGAGGCAGCAGUGAGGAGUAUUGGUCAAUGGACGCAAGUCUGAACCAGCCACGUAGCGUGCAUGAUGACGGCCCGUAUGGGUUGUAAACUGCUUUUAUGUGGGAAUAAAUUGGCGCACGUGUGCGCCGUUGCAUGUACCUCCUGAAUAAUGACCGGCUACUUCCGUGCCAGCAGCCGCGGUAAUACGGACGGUCGCGGCGUUAUCCAGAUUUAUUGGGUUUAAAGGGAGUGUAGGCGGUCUGUUAAGCGUGUUGUGAAAUUUAAGUGCUCAACAUUUAACUUGCAGCGCGAACUGUCAGACUUGAGUACACGCAGCGCAGGCGGAAUUCAUGGUGUAGCGGUGAAAUGCUUAGAUAUCAUGAGGAACUCCGAUCGCGAAGGCAGCCUGCGGGAGUGUUACUGACGCUUAAGCUCGAAGGUGCGGGUAUCGAACAGGAUUAGAUACCCUGGUAGUCCGCACAGUAAACGAUGGAUGCCCGCCGUUGGCGCCCUGCGCCUGCGGCCAAGCGAAAGCAUUAAGCAUCCCACCUGGGGAGUACGCCGGCAACGGUGAAACUCAAAGGAAUUGACGGGGGCCCGCACAAGCGGAGGAACAUGUGGUUUAAUUCGAUGAUACGCGAGGAACCUUACCCGGGCUUGAAUUGCAGUCGCUGCCCACAGAGACGUGGGCUUCCCUUCGGGGCGUCUGUGAAGGUGCUGCAUGGUUGUCGUCAGCUCGUGCCGUGAGGUGUCGGCUUAAGUGCCAUAACGAGCGCAACCCCCUUUCCCAGUUGCCAUCGGGUGAUGCCGGGCACUCUGGGGACACUGCCACCGCAAGGUGCGAGGAAGGUGGGGAUGACGUCAAAUCAGCACGGCCCUUACGUCCGGGGCUACACACGUGUUACAAUGGCCGGUACAGAGGGACGGUGCAAUGCAAGUUGCAUCCAAUCUUGAAAUCCGGUCCCAGUUCGGACUGGGGUCUGCAACCCGACCCCACGAAGCUGGAUUCGCUAGUAAUCGCGCAUCAGCCAUGGCGCGGUGAGUACGUUCCCGGGCCUUGCACACACCGCCCGUC